CUGCAGUUAAUGAAGUGACUGGGUUCCUUUGCUCUUGGGUGCCCAGUGUGCAGUGGCUGUGAACAACAAUGUCCUCGGAAGUGUAUGCAGCCUCUUGCUGGUGCGGGUGGCCCCAGGCGUCCCUGAAGACACUG
Small nucleolar RNA from Fukomys damarensis (Damara mole-rat), 134 nucleotides. Its record names the gene SNORA70. It matches the Rfam family "Small nucleolar RNA SNORA70". Rfam says of the family: snoRNA U70 seems to be exclusive to mammals and is a member of the H/ACA class of snoRNA which contain H (ANANNA) and ACA box motifs. NCBI's taxonomy places the organism in Eukaryota, Metazoa, Chordata, Mammalia, Rodentia, Bathyergidae. The record is from Ensembl.